GAUGAACGCUGGCGGCGUGCCUAAUACAUGCAAGUCGAGCGAACAGACGAGGAGCUUGCUCCUCUGACGUUAGCGGCGGACGGGUGAGUAACACGUGGAUAACCUACCUAUAAGAUUGGGAUAACUUCGGGAAACCGGAGCUAAUACCGGAUAAUAUAUUGAACCGCAUGGUUCAAUAGUGAAAGACGGUUUUGUUGUCACUAAUAGAUGGAUCCGCGCCGCAUUAGCUAGUUGGUAAGGUAACGGCUUACCAAGGCAACGAUGCGUAGCCGACCUGAGAGGGUGAUCGGCCACACUGGAACUGAGACACGGUCCAGACUCCUACGGGAGGCAGCAGUAGGGAAUCUUCCGCAAUGGGCGAAAGCCUGACGGAGCAACGCCGCGUGAGUGAUGAAGGUCUUCGGAUCGUAAAACUCUGUUAUUAGGGAAGAACAAAUGUGUAAGUAACUAUGCACGUCUUGACGGUACCUAAUCAGAAAGCCACGGCUAACUACGUG
RNAcentral lists this ribosomal RNA (497 nucleotides) under uncultured bacterium. RNAcentral describes it as "partial 16S ribosomal RNA". It matches the Rfam family "Bacterial small subunit ribosomal RNA", at positions 28 to 507 of the family's 1533-position model. The record is from RNAcentral.